GGCUCAAGGAGCUCGACGGCCUCGUCAACACCUCGGCGCGCUAUGCCGAGGUCGCCAUCCGCGCCGCGGUCAGCGCGGCGCAGGAGGAGCGCGACGAGAUGGGGCUGCUGCUCGAACACGCGCGCGAUCUGUCGAAGCAGAUGGCGCUGGCGGGCGCGCCGGCCCAGUUCCCGUUGCCGAUCGACGAGCUCGAAGGGGAGUUGUGGCUCGAGGUCGAUCGCUAUGCCGAGGCGCGCGAUGCCUACCAGCGCGCCACCACGCUGCAGCCGACGCCGAAUGCCUGGGUCGGCCUGGCCCGCGCCAGCGACAAGCUGGGCGACACCGUCACCGCGUGCGCGGCGUAUACGCGGGUGGCUGGAAUGCCGGGACUGCCGCCCACCGUCGAGCU
This 388-nucleotide unclassified non-coding RNA is filed under the name uncultured fungus. Its description in RNAcentral is "sequence contains 18S rRNA gene, ITS1, 5.8S rRNA gene, ITS2, 28S rRNA gene". The record is from RNAcentral. Lineage: Eukaryota; Fungi.